This 1732-nucleotide ribosomal RNA is filed under the name Escherichia coli. Its description in RNAcentral is "partial 23S ribosomal RNA". It matches the Rfam family "Bacterial large subunit ribosomal RNA", at positions 510 to 2227 of the family's 2925-position model. Lineage: Bacteria; Pseudomonadati; Pseudomonadota; Gammaproteobacteria; Enterobacterales; Enterobacteriaceae. The record is from RNAcentral.
AAAGGCGAAAAGAACCCCGGCGAGGGGAGUGAAAAAGAACCUGAAACCGUGUACGUACAAGCAGUGGGAGCACGCUUAGGCGUGUGACUGCGUACCUUUUGUAUAAUGGGUCAGCGACUUAUAUUCUGUAGCAAGGUUAACCGAAUAGGGGAGCCGAAGGGAAACCGAGUCUUAACUGGGCGUUAAGUUGCAGGGUAUAGACCCGAAACCCGGUGAUCUAGCCAUGGGCAGGUUGAAGGUUGGGUAACACUAACUGGAGGACCGAACCGACUAAUGUUGAAAAAUUAGCGGAUGACUUGUGGCUGGGGGUGAAAGGCCAAUCAAACCGGGAGAUAGCUGGUUCUCCCCGAAAGCUAUUUAGGUAGCGCCUCGUGAAUUCAUCUCCGGGGGUAGAGCACUGUUUCGGCAAGGGGGUCAUCCCGACUUACCAACCCGAUGCAAACUGCGAAUACCGGAGAAUGUUAUCACGGGAGACACACGGCGGGUGCUAACGUCCGUCGUGAAGAGGGAAACAACCCAGACCGCCAGCUAAGGUCCCAAAGUCAUGGUUAAGUGGGAAACGAUGUGGGAAGGCCCAGACAGCCAGGAUGUUGGCUUAGAAGCAGCCAUCAUUUAAAGAAAGCGUAAUAGCUCACUGGUCGAGUCGGCCUGCGCGGAAGAUGUAACGGGGCUAAACCAUGCACCGAAGCUGCGGCAGCGACGCUUAUGCGUUGUUGGGUAGGGGAGCGUUCUGUAAGCCUGUGAAGGUGUGCUGUGAGGCAUGCUGGAGGUAUCAGAAGUGCGAAUGCUGACAUAAGUAACGAUAAAGCGGGUGAAAAGCCCGCUCGCCGGAAGACCAAGGGUUCCUGUCCAACGUUAAUCGGGGCAGGGUGAGUCGACCCCUAAGGCGAGGCCGAAAGGCGUAGUCGAUGGGAAACAGGUUAAUAUUCCUGUACUUGGUGUUACUGCGAAGGGGGGACGGAGAAGGCUAUGUUGGCCGGGCGACGGUUGUCCCGGUUUAAGCGUGUAGGCUGGUUUUCCAGGCAAAUCCGGAAAAUCAAGGCUGAGGCGUGAUGACGAGGCACUACGGUGCUGAAGCAACAAAUGCCCUGCUUCCAGGAAAAGCCUCUAAGCAUCAGGUAACAUCAAAUCGUACCCCAAACCGACACAGGUGGUCAGGUAGAGAAUACCAAGGCGCUUGAGAGAACUCGGGUGAAGGAACUAGGCAAAAUGGUGCCGUAACUUCGGGAGAAGGCACGCUGAUAUGUAGGUGAAGUCCCUCGCGGAUGGAGCUGAAAUCAGUCGAAGAUACCAGCUGGCUGCAACUGUUUAUUAAAAACACAGCACUGUGCAAACACGAAAGUGGACGUAUACGGUGUGACGCCUGCCCGGUGCCGGAAGGUUAAUUGAUGGGGUCAGCGCAAGCGAAGCUCUUGAUCGAAGCCCCGGUAAACGGCGGCCGUAACUAUAACGGUCCUAAGGUAGCGAAAUUCCUUGUCGGGUAAGUUCCGACCUGCACGAAUGGCGUAAUGAUGGCCAGGCUGUCUCCACCCGAGACUCAGUGAAAUUGAACUCGCUGUGAAGAUGCAGUGUACCCGCGGCAAGACGGAAAGACCCCGUGAACCUUUACUAUAGCUUGACACUGAACAUUGAGCCUUGAUGUGUAGGAUAGGUGGGAGGCUUAGAAGUGUGGACGCCAGUCUGCAUGGAGCCGACCUUGAAAUACCACCCUUUAAUGUUUGAUGUUCUAACG